CCCUUAGAUGUUCUGGGCUGCACGCGCGCUACACUGAUACUUUCAGCGAGUCCACCACCUUGCCUGGGAAGGUGGGGUAACCUCUGGAAAGUGCAUCGUGAUGGGGAUCGAUUAUUGUAAUUAUUAAUCUUCAACGAGGAAUUCCUAGUAGACGUAGUUCAUCAGACUGCAUCGAUUACGUCCCUGCCCUUUGUACACACCGCCCGUCGCUCCUACCGAUUGAAUGCUCAGGUGAGCCAUUCGGACUUUCAUCAUGCUGGUUUCCAGUUUUGAUGAAGGAAAGUCUUGCGAACCUUAUCAUUUAGAGGAAGGAGAAGUCGUAACA
This 325-nucleotide ribosomal RNA is filed under the name uncultured eukaryote. RNAcentral describes it as "partial 18S ribosomal RNA". It matches the Rfam family "Eukaryotic small subunit ribosomal RNA", at positions 1470 to 1796 of the family's 1831-position model. The record is from RNAcentral.